AUACGGAGGAUGCAAGCGUUAUCCGGAUUUAUUGGGUUUAAAGGGUGCGUAGGCGGUUUGCUAAGCGGGAGGUGAAAUGCCGGCGCUCAACGUCGGAAGUGCCUCCCGAACUGGUGGACUUGAAUGACUCUGCCGUGGGAGGAAUGUGUAGUGUAGCGGUGAAAUGCUUAGAGAUUACACAGAACACCGAUUGCGAAGGCAUCUCACGAAGAGUUGAUUGACGCUGAGGCACGAAAGCGUGGGGAUCAAACAGGAUUAGAUACCCUGGUAGUCCACGCAGUAAACGAUGAUGGCUAACCGCUGGGCUUAUCAGUUCAGUGGCCAAGCGAAAGCGAUAAGCCAUCCACCUGGGGAGUACGACCGCGAGGUUGAAACUUAAAGGAAUUGACGGGG
RNAcentral lists this ribosomal RNA (393 nucleotides) under uncultured bacterium. RNAcentral describes it as "partial 16S ribosomal RNA". It matches the Rfam family "Bacterial small subunit ribosomal RNA", at positions 523 to 918 of the family's 1533-position model. The record is from RNAcentral.